AGUAAAAGAAUAAAUUGAUUUAUCUUCCUCCGGUACUGCAGUUUUGUGACCUUUCAAUCAACAUGCUAAUAGCUCGAGUUAUUUGGUGGAUGCAUUAUAUGACCCUCAGCCAUUCCUGGACCUGUUCCUGAUGAACUAGUAGUUCCAACUACAGAAUCUAUAGGUGUUAAAUUGCUGUUAAAGAUGGGAUGGCGGCAUGGUCGGUCAAUAAAGGAUUCAAAUAGUGAUGCACUGUAUGGUAUGACUUUAGAACACAUGCUCUUCUUAUAUCAGAAAACUGUAUUACUCUAGUACUAGUUCAUGCAUAAUCUGGAAAGUCGGGAAAGUUCUUGGGAGAUCUCAAUUUAAGAUCAUAGCUGCUGUCAAUUGCAAUUAUGUGAUGGCAAACUAAGUUGUUUUUUGACCUGUCACCCUUGGGUAGGUGAAGGUUAUUGCGUCUUUAACUAAUGGAUCUCCUGGAAUUUUGCUAGACCCCUUUUAUAAAUACAUACACACAUGCGCACAAUAACCAGAGGCAGAGGCAGUAUUUUUUUUUUCUUUUCCGUAUGCUAUUAUACAUUUGGCGUUUCUCUCUGAGUUUGUCAGUUAAAAGAGAGAAUUUCAGCUGUUGUUAGGCAUAGAGAAUUGGGAAUAAAAGAUUGAGACUUGGAGAUGAACCACAGAAGGAUACUGGAAAGGCUAAAGAGAUUUUACCCUUACCUGGGAAAAAAUUCUUAUUGAUGUUUCUUCUUCACUUUGGUUCUUAUCUGUGAUCAAUG
This is a long non-coding RNA of Olea europaea var. sylvestris, 758 nucleotides long. RefSeq lists it as uncharacterized. The transcript has 3 exons. Lineage: Eukaryota; Viridiplantae; Streptophyta; Magnoliopsida; Lamiales; Oleaceae. The record is from RefSeq and is a predicted model, not a curated record.